Molecule: ribosomal RNA, 464 nt
Filed under: uncultured bacterium
Lineage: Bacteria
Description: partial 16S ribosomal RNA
Rfam family: Bacterial small subunit ribosomal RNA
Source: RNAcentral
CUACGGGUUGCACCAGUCGAGAAUCUUUCCCAAUGCCCGAAAGGGUGAGGAUGCGACGCCGCGUGGGGGAUGAAGGUUUUCGGAUUGUAAACCCCUUUUAUUGAAGAAGAAAGCCAUAAAGUUAAUAGCUUAUUGGUAUGACGUUAUUCAAUGAAUAAGUCACGGCUAACUCCGUGCCAGCAGCCGCGGUAAUACGGAGGUGGCAAGCGUUACUCGGAAUUACUGGGUGUAAAGGGUCCGCAGGCGGCUAAGUAAGUAGAGGGUGAAAUCCUUUAGCUCAACUAAAGAAAUGCCUUCUAUACUGCUUAGCUUGAGGGCAAAAGAGGAGAGCAGAACUGCCGGUGUAAAGGUGGAAUUUGUGGAUAUCGGCAGGAAUGUCAGCGGCGAAGGCGGCUCUCUGGGUUGUUCCUGACGCUCAGGGACGAAAGCUAGGGGAGCAAACAGGAUUAGAUACCCGAGUGGUC